Molecule: unclassified non-coding RNA, 314 nt
Filed under: plant metagenome
Description: partial contains 5.8S ribosomal RNA, internal transcribed spacer 2, and large subunit ribosomal RNA
Rfam family: 5.8S ribosomal RNA (bases 1-105)
Source: RNAcentral
GAAAUGCGAUAAUUUAUGCGAAUUGCAGAAUUCAGUGAAUCAUCGAGUCUUUGAACGCACAUUGCGCCCCCUGGUAUUCCGGGGGGCAUGCCUGUCCGAGCGUCAUUGCUACCCUCAAGCACGGCUUGUGUGUUGGGCUUCCGUCCCUGGCAACGGGGACGGGCCCAAAAGGCAGUGGCGGCACCAUGUCUGGUCCUCGAGCGUAUGGGGCUUUGUCACCCGCUCCCGUAGGUCCAGCUGGCAGCUAGCCUCGCAACCAAUCUUUUUAACCAGGUUGACCUCGGAUCAGGUAGGGAUACCCGCUGAACUUAAGC